RNAcentral lists this microRNA precursor (96 nucleotides) under Nicotiana sylvestris (wood tobacco). RNAcentral's name for it is "MIR6152 microRNA precursor family". It matches the Rfam family "MIR6152 microRNA precursor family". RNAcentral also lists the same sequence under 1 other name. The record is from Rfam by way of RNAcentral. Lineage: Eukaryota; Viridiplantae; Streptophyta; Magnoliopsida; Solanales; Solanaceae.
UGGAUAGAUUAUUGUAUUCAACUGUAUUCACGGUGUGAAACAGGGGGUUACACUGUUUUUAAACGGAAAGUGAAUCAAUUAACAUAAUAGACUCCU